AUGACCAUGGAAGGUAUUCCAGUGAGUGCAGCGAUGGGGGCCCUGAACUCCGUCCUGGAGAAGCUGGCCACUCUAGUGGUCGAUGAGUACAAGCUUUGCAAGGUGAUGGGCAGUGAGAUCAAAUUGCUCACAGAUGAACUCACGUUCAUGCAUGCGUUUCUCCUGAAAAUGACGGAGGUUGAGGAUCCUGAUGUGCAAGAUAUGGUUUGGAUGACGGCGGUGCGUGAGCUGUCCUAUGAUAUAGAGGACUCCAUCGACGACUUCAUGCAAGACGAAGACGCUAAGCCAGAUGGCUUCAUUAAGAAAAUGAUGCACAUGAUGGGGAUGUGGGGAAAGAGGAAGCGUCACCAUCAGAUGUUCCUAGACUUGAAGAAACGAGCCAUUGAGGUGGGCGAGAGGAGUGAAAGGUACAAGACUCGUCAGGUCUUCUCGAACACCAAAAAUGGAACUGUUGACCCUAGAGCUCUUGCUAUCUUUGAGCACGCAUCAAAGCUUGUUGGAAUUGAUGAACCCAAGGCCGAACUAAUCAAACUAUUGACCGAAGAGAAUGGAUGUGCGUCAACACAAGUGCAACCGAAAAUGGUGUCCAUUGUUGGGUCCGGAGGAUUGGGCAAGACAACUCUUGCAAACCUAGUGUAUCAAGAGCUUAAAGAGAAAUUCAAGUGUAAGGCUUUCGUAUCAGUGUCACGAAACCCAGACAUGACAAAUAUAUUGAGAACCAUUCUCAGUGAAGUAAGCUGCCAAGGUUAUGCUCAUACAGAAGCAGGAAGCAUACAACAAUUGAUAAGCAAGAUUAGUGAUUAUCUAGUGGACAAAAGGUAUUUUCUAGUGAUUGACGAUAUAUGGGACACUAAAACAUGGGAUGUUAUUAAGCACGUGUUCCCCAUGACAAAUUGUGACCCUUCCCUGGACCCUGCGCAAGCGGGAGCUACAUGCACCAGGUUGCCCUUUAUAAUAAUCACCACUACUCGUAUGGGUGAUGUCGCUUGUUCAUGUUGUUUAUCAAUUGGUGGCCAUAUCUAUAAUAUGAGUCCGCUUAGUAUGGUGCACUCAAGGCAACUAUUUCACAAAAGAUUAUUUGACUCCAAAGAAGACCUCCCUUCCCACCUUGAGAAAAUUUCUGAAGAAAUUCUGAAAAAAUGUGAUGGUUUACCUUUGGCAAUCAUUGCUAUAUCUAGUUUGUUGGCUAAUAAAGAGAGAUCAGAGCAACUAUGGAACCAAGUGAAAGAUUCAAUUGGCCGCGCACUUGAAAGGAAUCCUAGCAUUGAAGGAAUGAUAAAGAUACUGUCACUUAGUUACUUUGAUCUUCCUUCUCAUCUGAAAACCUGUCUCCUGUAUCUCAGUAUAUUUCCAGAGGAUUCUAUUAUUCAGAAGAAAGUCUUAAUAUGGAGAUGGAUUGCCGAAUGA
RNAcentral lists this ribosomal RNA (1407 nucleotides) under Triticum aestivum (bread wheat). Its description in RNAcentral is "partial small subunit ribosomal RNA". Lineage: Eukaryota; Viridiplantae; Streptophyta; Magnoliopsida; Poales; Poaceae. The record is from RNAcentral.